This 390-nucleotide ribosomal RNA is filed under the name uncultured bacterium. RNAcentral describes it as "bacterial SSU rRNA". It matches the Rfam family "Bacterial small subunit ribosomal RNA", at positions 29 to 409 of the family's 1533-position model. The record is from RNAcentral.
AACGAACGCUGGCGGCGCGCCUAAUACAUGCAAGUCGAGCGAGAAGACGUAGCAAUACGUUUGUAAAGCGGCGGACGGGUGAGGAAUACAUGGGUAACCUACCCUCGAGUGGGGAAGUAACUAGCCGAAGGUUAGCUAAUACCGCGUACGCUUCUUGGACUUCGGUUUCAGGGAGGAAAGCGAUACCGUGGGUAUCGCGCUCUUGGAUGGGCUCAUGUCCUAUCAGCUUGUUGGGAGGUAACGGCUCACCAAGGCUUCGACGGGUAGCUGGUCUGAGAGGACGAUCAGCCACACUGGCACUGCGACACGGGCCAGACUCCUACGGGAGGCAGCAGUAAGGAAUAUUGCGCAAUGGGCGAAAGCCUGACGCAGCGACGCCGCGUGGGGGAG